This 2297-nucleotide long non-coding RNA is filed under the name Triticum aestivum (bread wheat). Its description in RNAcentral is "long non-coding RNA (TAES_LNC014064)". Lineage: Eukaryota; Viridiplantae; Streptophyta; Magnoliopsida; Poales; Poaceae. The record is from RNAcentral.
AAUAAAUGGAAAUAUGAUACAUAUAUACAUAAUGAAUAUGGAUUAUCUAGGAUGAUAAGUACAACAUUUGGCUAAGUAUCCCCGAGACAAUAACUUCAUUAUUUGAAGUGCAUUGUUUGACCAGACUCACAAAAAUGAAGAGCUUAUUUGAACAGUGCGCAAAAAGGGCUCUUCAGAUGUAUUGUAUCAAACAAGGAGUCCGCGACUCAAAAAGGAACAAAAUUCUGAGUGGUUUGGAAGCAUUCUCAAUAGUUCUCCUCUUUUUCCGCCUCGGAAGCAUUCUUCAUCCAGGCUCCCAAACGCUUCAUCUCUCGAUACAGAGCUUUGUCUAUAUAUAAAGAUUAAAGAGUCAAGGUACUAAACAUGCAUGACAGAUAUGUCCAGUCAGUAAUAAAAUUAGUUUCUAGCGUUCUUGGAGGAUUUAAAGAUAGGACACUACCGUCUUAAGCUAACCUUAUGGAGACUUUUGUAUAUUUAAUGCAUACUUCCUUUCAUUCUUAGACUGAUCAAGUGAAAGUUGUGAGAUAAAAUAUUUCUCCUGUGUAGACUCUUUAGCAACUAUAACCUUCAAGGUGAACAAUCAACAUCUUUGCUUCUCAAAAGAGGCACAUAGUUGAUUUGCUGCUGUACAAGGAUGGUAAUCUGAAACAAUUAUGCAGCACAAGAUAAGUGCUAAGUCGACCAUUGGUAGCGAAUCUACCAGACUCGGGAGGAUCAAAUUAUGUGAUUUUACAUGUGCAUCAUAGCCAUCAAAGGAAAAUAAAAGUCACCCAAUGGAACCAAAAUUUCACAAAGCUUAGUCAAGUUUUCCUAUAUUGCAUAUCCUCCCCCUGAAACAAAGAAAAUAGUAUUAUAAGCUAUGUAAAAUAUAACAAGGAUAGCGGAUGAAUGAAACAAAAAAAAUUUGCAUCCCACCAAACAACACUAUGUUAUGUAGUAUUUACUAUAAAAGGCCCUCUGCUCUAAAUCCUGUGAGAUAUGGAGUGUGGUGGAAACAUGCUGAACCAACAUGAAUAGGGUCCAAAAUUAGAUGCAUACAUCUUGAAGCACACACUGGAAUUUUCAAAUUGCCAUCAAACCGCCGGAAACUCUUUGUGUCAAGAGAAUUAUACAACAAGACAUGAAAAGGAAUUGUAGGUUCAGACUAAAUAAUUACUAACCUUGGAUUGUAGGUUCAGACCAAAUAACCAAAUAACUGACACACAAAUAUCAGUGGAAUUAACUACAGUAUACUCAACUACUAUAUAAAGAGAUUUCAGAUGCAGAACAACUACAUAGUGCCCAGAUUUGGUAUCUUAUCAAUUGGUCCAAGUUUUUCAUGUGGCAGCGCAUCUCAUUUUUACUCUCGCUGCAACAGCAAAACAGAAGAAUUUAAUUUAAUGCCCAGUCACAAAGUGUAAGCCUGAUUUAAAAGAAUACCAAAAAUAAGAGGAAGGACAAUUACUGCAAUUUUUAUACUUCAAAGUACCACAAAUACACCUCAAACUCGGGUUGGUAGAACAAUAAGAUGAAACUACUGCUAUCCUAGAUUUGAUGCUUGUACAAGUUCAGUUAAAAGUGGUUUAACAAGUGUACAGCCUACCAAACUGAACUUAUUUUUACUGCCUAGUAGAUUAACCAAAACAUGGGGAAUUUCACACCAACCGACGUACUAAUAUACAACAAAAAUAGUAGAAGAAAACAAUGCAAGGACAGAACUUGGCUUCCCCCAGUUAACUCGUUGCAGUUUCAGUGGGUGGUGGCUUCCACUGUAACUCUGAACCUCUAUUACUCUUUGGGGCAACUCCAAAUAUUUCACAACUGUUAAGUCAAUAGUAUGUAUAUCUUUUCAGCUAGCUUGUUAUUUCUCGAUGUUACAAUACAUUUAUGUUGUAUCCUAUCCGCGUGAACGCUAUGGUGCAUAGUGAAGGUAGGCAUAGAUGUACAACAAUGCCAUGCCUAACAAUAUCCACCCUAGUUUCUGAUUUCAUUUUUGUGCUCUAACUUAUCCUUGGGGAUAAAGGAAAAUUUUGUGACUGGGAAAAUGCGCUACUAAGAACUAUCUGAUCAAACUACUUGCCAAGAAUUUAAUCCUCAGCAAGAUGAGAAUUAGAGCAAAGAGUAACAAUUUAUAAAUGUAGUAUUCCAAAGAAUGUAUAAUAAAAAGAGAAGCGCGCUAUAUUUAGUUAGCUCAGAAUGUUCUCAUCAAGUUGUGAUUCUGAACUUCUGAUAGUGAACUCAGCAGACAAGUAAAAAGAGUAAGCAAGUAAGUACCAGAUACGAAGCGAAUGAACGACAAUCUACCCAUCUUGGACUUU